UAGUCCACGCCCUAAACGAUGUCUACUAGUUGUCGGGUCUUAAUUGACUUGGUAACGCAGCUAACGCGUGAAGUAGACCGCCUGGGGAGUACGGUCGCAAGAUUAAAACUCAAAGGAAUUGACGGGGACCCGCACAAGCGGUGGAUGAUGUGGAUUAAUUCGAUGCAACGCGAAAAACCUUACCUACCCUUGACAUGUCAGGAACCUCCGAGAGAUUGGAGGGUGCCCGAAAGGGAACCUGAACAC
This 246-nucleotide ribosomal RNA is filed under the name uncultured bacterium. RNAcentral describes it as "partial 16S ribosomal RNA". It matches the Rfam family "Bacterial small subunit ribosomal RNA", at positions 791 to 1035 of the family's 1533-position model. The record is from RNAcentral.